Molecule: ribosomal RNA, 374 nt
Filed under: Panthera leo (lion)
Lineage: Eukaryota; Metazoa; Chordata; Mammalia; Carnivora; Felidae
Description: partial 16S ribosomal RNA
Rfam family: Bacterial large subunit ribosomal RNA
Source: RNAcentral
UUUGUUCCUUAAAUAGGGACUUGUAUGAAUGGCCACACGAGGGCUUUACUGUCUCUUACUUCUAAUCCGUGAAAUUGACCUUCCCGUGAAGAGGCGGGAAUAUGACAAUAAGACGAGAAGACCCUAUGGAGCUUUAAUUAACCGACCCAAAGAGAUCUUGAUAACCAACCAACAGGGAUUACAAACCUCUACCAUGGGUCGACAAUUUAGGUUGGGGUGACCUCGGAGAAUAAAACAACCUCCGAGUGAUUUAAAUCUAGACUAACCAGUUGAAAAUAUUACAUCACUUAUUGAUCCAAAAACUUGAUCAACGGAACAAGUUACCCUAGGGAUAACAGCGCAAUCCUAUUUUAGAGUCCAUAUCGACAAUAGGG